GGUUGUGGUCCAGAUUGGCGGUUUCUGUUCCAUAUUUGAAGGGUGAUACACCAAGCUUACUUGGUGAAAUGUUCUUAAGAUUACGGAAAAUGUCAUCACGUCAAGAUUCAAUCAUGUGCAGGUUGGAUUGGUUGCAAAGUUGUAGGCUCAUUUGACUGUGGUGCUGCUACAGCUUAUUAUUUGGUGGCUAUGUGGAGUAGCAACUGGUGUUCACGAAGAAAUAUACAAUUCAUGGAUGCAUGCGUAUAUAGAUUCUUCUUCAAUGCUUAGCUUGGCUCCUUGCCGCACUUCGUCUCGCAUAGCAUCCAACAAAGUAUAUGAUAGACAAAACAGAAAAUAAUACGACAUUGAAUAUCGCAACAACUCUCCACUCAGUUUUCAUGUAUUGCGCCACGCCGGCCUUGCAAGAAUCACAACAAUAGCAUUUGAAAGCUCGAGAAUUUUUUGUACCGCUUGCAGUCAUGGUUAGGACUAACUGGAUGAAAGCUCAAGUCAUAGUAAGAUGCAUUUACAGCAGGAUAUCCACACUCAGAAGGCGGCCGACAGCAACUAGAUUCAAUUGGACUCAAAUCUUCAAUCUCUGCAAAAUAGGUGACUGCCCAAGCAAUGGCAGGAAAGCCAUCCAAAUUCAACCGGUUGCCAUGCAUUUUGCAGAUGAAUGCCAUCUUAGGCAUGCAACAUCAACAUGAGCAUUGCAUCUUGUUGUGGUUGAUGUGCUGCCAAUACUUACCUUGCUGUAGGAUUUUAUUAUCGACAUGGAUGAACUGCUGUCAUGCUGCAGAUUGUGUUGUUCUGCAAGCCUAAACCAGUACUUCAUGGCUUGUGCUUUGUAGGUUUGUGAUAGUGGUCAAGGCAUUUGCAAGGUUACUUGUGAGCGAAGCAACAAGGUGAAAGCACAAUCAACAUGUCUACUGGAUGAUUAAUCAAGGCAAAGUAACAUGGGAUUAUGUCCAAGUUUGGGAAAUCAGGGCUUCAGAAUUUUAGGGUUGACUUUGGUCAAAGUUGACCAAAAAGUCAACUGUUGACCAAAGUCAACAAAUGGUCCAAACUCAUUUUCUUGGCACUUUCUUUGUAAAUGGACAAUGUAUUGAUAAUCAUGGUGAAAUUUAGGGUAUUUGGAUUUUGGGUGACUUUGGUCAAAGUUGACCAAAAAGUCAACUGUUGGUCAAAGUGUCAAUUUUUGUGUAUUUUUGUAUGGAAUCAAAUGUAAUAAAAUUGAAAUGGAUUAACAAAAUGGUUUGAAGUUGGUUUCCAA
Lathyrus oleraceus (garden pea) is the source of this 1255-nucleotide long non-coding RNA. RefSeq lists it as uncharacterized. NCBI's taxonomy places the organism in Eukaryota, Viridiplantae, Streptophyta, Magnoliopsida, Fabales, Fabaceae. The transcript is spliced from 3 exons. The record is from RefSeq and is a predicted model, not a curated record.